UGCCAGCCGCCGCGGUAAUACGAAGGGUCCAAGCGUUAUCCGGAUUUAUUGGGUUUAAAGGGUACGUAGGCGGAACAUUAAGUCAGUAGUGAAAGCCCAUCGCUCAACGAUGGAACUGCUAUUGAUACUGAUGUUCUUGAAUAUAGUUGAAGUAGGCGGAAUACGACAUGUAGCGGUGAAAUGCAUAGAUAUGUCGUGGAACACCAAUCGCGAAGGCAGCUUACUAAGCUACGAUUGACGCUGAGGCACGAAAGCGUGGGGAGCGAACAGGAUUAGAUA
RNAcentral lists this ribosomal RNA (279 nucleotides) under uncultured bacterium. Its description in RNAcentral is "partial 16S ribosomal RNA". It matches the Rfam family "Bacterial small subunit ribosomal RNA", at positions 506 to 784 of the family's 1533-position model. The record is from RNAcentral.